GUGGUCAGACUAGAGACGGCUGGUAGAGCCGUAGUACGAACCAACUGGAGGAUGCACAUCUCUGUUCCUCUCCAGACAGACCUGAGGAAGUUCAGGACGUAUAAAGGGAACUCAGUCAGAGACCUGCUCCGAGCCAUGAGAAAUAAGACAUGAGGAAUAAGGGAAACAUGCUGCUCUUUUACAGCUGUUCCAACAAUGUGUUGUAGUUAGUAGUGGUGAAUGAUGAAAUGGUUGGAGGAUAGUGUUGAACUUCCUGUCUCUCCCUCUCUCUCUUCCUGUC
Molecule: non-coding RNA, 280 nt
Organism: Salmo salar (Atlantic salmon)
Lineage: Eukaryota; Metazoa; Chordata; Actinopteri; Salmoniformes; Salmonidae
Source: RefSeq, a predicted model, not a curated record